UACGGAGGGAGCUAGCGUUGUUCGGAAUUACUGGGCGUAAAGGGCGCGUAGGCGGGUGUUUAAGUCAGAGGUCAAAUCCCAGGGCUCAACCCUGGAACUGCCUUUGAUACUGGACACCUAGAGUUUGGGAGUGGUGAGUGGAACUCCGAGUGUAGAGGUGAAAUUCGUAGAUAUUCGGAAGAACACCAGUGGCGAAGGCGACUCACUGGCCCAAUACUGACGCUGAGGCGCGAAAGCGUGGGGAGCAAACAGG
This 253-nucleotide ribosomal RNA is filed under the name uncultured bacterium. Its description in RNAcentral is "partial 16S ribosomal RNA". It matches the Rfam family "Bacterial small subunit ribosomal RNA", at positions 524 to 776 of the family's 1533-position model. The record is from RNAcentral.